AAAAGAAAAAUGCAUGUGAAAAUGAAAAAAAAUAAGAAAAAGCAUGAAGAUGAGCUCAAUGAAAAGAAAAAGGGAAAAAGUUGGGAAUGAGAGAGUUUGGUGAGAAAGAGAGUUGUGCUUAAAUGUUAAAUAUUAUGAUAGCUCUCUUAACUCAAGGAUUUUGUUUUCCAGAAAAACCAAUUUUUCUUGUUAGCCCAACCUCAUUACA
This 208-nucleotide long non-coding RNA is filed under the name Vigna radiata. RNAcentral describes it as "long non-coding RNA (VRAD_LNC015791)". The record is from RNAcentral. Lineage: Eukaryota; Viridiplantae; Streptophyta; Magnoliopsida; Fabales; Fabaceae.